CACACCGCCCGUCACGCCACGAAAGUGGUCAUAACCAGAAGCAUGUGAGCUAACUUCGGAGGCAGCAUACCAAGGUUAAGGCCGUGAUUGGGGCG
Molecule: ribosomal RNA, 95 nt
Filed under: uncultured bacterium
Lineage: Bacteria
Description: partial 16S ribosomal RNA
Rfam family: Bacterial small subunit ribosomal RNA
Source: RNAcentral